AGUUCCUGCCUAAAAGGAUGUAAUAAUUGUUAGUUCCCUUUGCCAUUUAAGAACUGCUGCAUGAUUCUAAAGUUUUUAGCAUAAGAUAUUAAUUGAAAUCUGUAUCAAUCAUUGGAACAGUCAACAAAGAUAAACUCUAUUACAAUGAUUGGAUGUAUCAACAAAGCUAAAUGGUCAGACUGAACAUAUGAAUCAAAGAAUGAUAUCUAAGCAAACAACAUAACAACACAAGAUUUAUUGACUACGCGCAUCACUGUUUGUUGUCCCAAACAAUGUGUCUAGGGGGGUGAAUUGGACAAU
Molecule: unclassified non-coding RNA, 300 nt
Filed under: Hevea brasiliensis (rubber tree)
Lineage: Eukaryota; Viridiplantae; Streptophyta; Magnoliopsida; Malpighiales; Euphorbiaceae
Source: RNAcentral